Molecule: ribosomal RNA, 438 nt
Filed under: uncultured bacterium
Lineage: Bacteria
Description: partial 16S ribosomal RNA
Rfam family: Bacterial small subunit ribosomal RNA
Source: RNAcentral
CUACGGGAUGCACCAGUGAGGAAUAUUGCACAAUGGAGGAAACUCUGAUGCAGCAACGCCGCGUGGAGGAUGACGCAUUUCGGUGUGUAAACUCCUUUUAUAUGUCAAGAAAAUGACGGUAGCAUAUGAAUAAGCUCCGGCUAACUCCGUGCCAGCAGCCGCGGUAAUACGGAGGGAGCAAGCGUUACUCGGAAUCACUGGGCGUAAAGGACGCGUAGGCGGGAUAGAAAGUCAGGUGUGAAAUCCUAUGGCUCAACCAUAGAACUGCACUUGAAACUUCUAACCUAGAGUAUGGGAGGGAAGAUGGAAUGAGUGGUGUAGGGGUAAAAUCCGUAGAUAUCACUAGGAAUACCAAAAGCGAAGGCGAUCUUCUGGAACAAUACUGACGCUAAGGCGUGAAAGCGUGGGGAGCAAACAGGAUUAGAUACCGGUGUAGUC